This 92-nucleotide ribosomal RNA is filed under the name Vibrio sp. 03_296. RNAcentral describes it as "partial 16S ribosomal RNA". It matches the Rfam family "Bacterial small subunit ribosomal RNA", at positions 1451 to 1533 of the family's 1533-position model. The record is from RNAcentral. Lineage: Bacteria; Pseudomonadati; Pseudomonadota; Gammaproteobacteria; Vibrionales; Vibrionaceae.
CGCUCACCACUUUGUGGUUCAUGACUGGGGUGAAGUCGUAACAAGGUAGCGCUAGGGGAACCUGGCGCUGGAUCACCUCCUUAUACGAUGAU